GACGAACGCUGGCGGCGUGCUUAACACAUGCAAGUCGAGCGGUAAGGCCCUUUCGGGGGUACACGAGCGGCGAACGGGUGAGUAACACGUGGGUGACCUGCCCUCAGCUCUGGGAUAAGCCUGGGAAACCGGGUCUAAUACCGGAUAUGACUCCAUGACGCAUGUUGUGGGGUGGAAAGCCUUGUGCGGCUGAGGAUGGGCCCGCGGCCUAUCAGCUUGUUGGUGGGGUGAUGGCCUACCAAGGCGACGACGGGUAGCCGGCCUGAGAGGGCGACCGGCCACACUGGGACUGAGACACGGCCCAGACUCCUACGGGAGGCAGCAGUGGGGAAUCUUGCGCAACGGGCGAAAGCCUGACGCAGCGACGCCGCGUGAGGGAUGACG
RNAcentral lists this ribosomal RNA (384 nucleotides) under uncultured bacterium. RNAcentral's name for it is "bacterial SSU rRNA". It matches the Rfam family "Bacterial small subunit ribosomal RNA", at positions 28 to 413 of the family's 1533-position model. The record is from RNAcentral.